CAUACCUGGAAGCGGCAGUGAAAUGCAGUGGACUCACAAGUAACACAACCAGGACAAAUGCAGACGUUUAAGGGGAUCAGGCCCCACCCUACAGCAGAUCACAGGUGUUUACACAUCACAGGUAACACAUUUACACCUGAUGUAAGAGGAUUUGGCCAGGUAACUGGAGGUUGAUAGCUGCUACAGCAGGAGUACAGGUGUAAACAGCACAAGAGAUGAGUCUCAAGUUAAGUCUUCAUCACAAGAUGCUGUCCUGUUUGUUAGGGAAAUCAAGAUGGCGUCUCUACCGACUCAACAGAGCGGAAAGGUGAAUGAUGGGAUUGUCAAAUGAAAGGCUACAUCUUCCCACUGGCUGGCUCCCUAUUGGUUGAACAUCUCAGUCUACUGGCUGACUGGAGUACCCAUGUGAUGUAGUCUCUACACAGCUGUGCCCUCUGCAUAGCCAGGCAUCAUUUCCAUGGAUACUGGGCACAGUUGCUUAGUUACCACAAUUGAACUAUCUUGAGCUAGAAAACUGGUGUGUUCUCUAAUUACACCUCCCUCUAGCUAAAUGGAACAGACACUCAUGGCCUGUCACAUUUAAUUCAAAGACUUCUCAUAACACUUGACCACAGCCCCAGGCCACUGGUCAUCAUAUUGGGUAUUGACCAGUAAAUUGUCAAAUUCAGGCAUAUACUGUCCUUAAUCAUCAAAAUCUCACUAUAUCUGAGGGCUGGCAAUUAUGUCACUUAUAAUAGCUAUGGGCAGAAUUUCUUUUCUUACUGUAUACAGAUCUGGUUAGGGAAGUUAGUCCACAACAGAUUAUUGACCUUCAAGGCAGACUUAAUCCAGCAGUGGCGUAAAGGGGUGUACCAACACAAUGUCAUACAAGCAUAUCUUCCAAAAAUAGAAAAAAAUAAGGAAGAAAAAAUACACUUCCUACAGCUAUUAUCUUAUACAAUUAUUUCCAGAAGUGUGGAUAACAGAAAGGGGGAAAAUGGGUUAAAACUUCAUAACACUUUAAUAGGUUGAGAAAUCAUGGAUGAGUGAGGAUGGUAUGUAUGUAUGCAGAGUAUACCUAUGUAAAUACACCUGUGUUAUCUCCACUAAUCUAGUUAGUGUGUAGACUGGCCCAGUGACUGGAGAUGAUGAUGUGUCUGAAUAUUAUGGGAUGUUAGGAUGUGUGUGUUGUUAGUGUAUACAUGUGUAUCAUGUAUAAGCUAUAUAUCUGUCCCAUCAAUGUGUCACACACACAUGGCAGCUACUGAUAAACGACUUUUAAAGUUCACAAUAAAAUAUUUGUUUAAUAAGACUUAUAAUUAAGAUAUUAGCCAUAUUAAGGGGAUACCAGGGGAGUGUGACAGAGCACACUACUAGAGAGAACAUGUACUCCCUAAUCACUGUACAGUCUACACAGAUGUCAUCAUUCCAGUCCUCCCUGGAAUCACAUGCAUGUUGUCAGUGACCCCUACAGGGCCAUGCUCAUGUCACUAAAACAGAGGGGAAUAAAGCUGGCCACAAUCGAUAUACUCUCACAGCCUGUCCUAACGCAUGUGCAAUUAUAUAUAUAUAACUAUACAGGGUAUUACAAAGACCUACCAAUUGCCAGCCCAAUUUAUGAUCUAUUAGGAUAAAAACGGCAGCACCACUGGGUUAUAGCUACUAAUAUGGGGCUACAUUUAUGAAAUAGGGUAAAAUUAUGGCCAUAUAUCUAUAUUGUCUGUAAACUGCUGGUGCGUAAAGAAGGUCAAUGUUUUUGCACAUUUUACGGGUCCAAGUGUGAAUUCAUGACCCAUUUACAGAGGUAUAAAUAGAAUGCAUUUCAAAAUGAAAAAUAGGAAAAUGUGAAAUUAUCCACCAGCAAAACAAAUAUUAUAAUAGAUGAAAGAUAUCAAUUUUAGUACAUGGAUGUUGAGUUAGUUUUCAUUACCAGCUGGGUAUUGAAUUUUAACACUAUAAGGUUUAUACACAAUUACAGAAGUUUAUAUACACAACUUUAUUAUCCAGUGCAGUUGUAAAAUAUGCAAGUCAAAGAGUCGGCAAAUAUGGAUGACUUUCACAAACAAAAUAUAUGUGUAUUGGCCUAGAGAAUAGAAAACAGUAGAAUUUGUGAUCAAAGUAUCCAUGGCAACCGUGGCAGCUGAUGACCUGGGAGUCGACACAUGUACACAGACUGGGACAGUAACUCUAUAUUAGUAUCUUUACAAUCCCUGCCCAUUUCCAUGAUAAUAACACACAACAGCUGUAGAGAAUUACAGGCAAACUAGGCCUGCCAUGUCAACAGGACCAGUAAAAUAUGUACAGCACAUAUACAGCCAUAUCACAGGGCCAGCAUGGAGGAGCAGUGUGACACAUUUAUUGCAUUCACAAAAAUAUCAAUAUACUUGGCAAUCUCUUGAUGAUUAUACCAGUUGUGGCCUAUUAUACCAAACAAAAUGUAUGCCAUGAAAUUUGCGAUUUCUGUCAUUUCGACAGAUGUUUAGUCCCUGUUGUUUGUUUUGUUCUAACCCCUUAAAGCAGCCUUAUGAUUUAGUAUUAUCUGAUCAAACACAGACAACAGAUCCCACAGGGAUCUUUAUGUUCAACAUUUGAGGGAUAAUUAACGAUUAGAAAAACAAUAGAUGUUGAUAACUCACCUUGUGUCACUCAACUCUUUGUUUGUUAAAUUGAUUCUAAUUAUAACUUUGCUUCAGAAAAUUAGAUUUGACCUUGAACUGUGACUUGGUGACUAAAACUUUCCAAUCAUCUUCUUAAGACUAAAUAAUUUGAUCAUGACCCUUGACACUGACUUUCACCUUGGAAAAUUUAUCCUCUUAUUCAUGAUUCUAAUCUACUUUGAUUGAUGAUGUAAUCACAAAUAUUUGCAAAAUGUCUUUUAACAAGAGGCCCAUGAGCUUGAUCAGUCACCUAAGUUCUAAUAUACAUUUUGUAUGUUAAAAGAUGUUUGCUUUUAAAUCAAAAUUGAACAUAUUUGACCUUUUGACCUUGAAAUUGUUAUCUCAGUACACUUCUGGCCCAAUAUUAUGACCUUAAACCUAAACUGUAAAAGGACAUAAAUUAAUACUAUCAGAUCAGUCCCGAUGAGGAAACUGUUCAAGAUUUUAUUAGUAAAAACCUCACAACAUUUCAAAUUUUAUCUAAAUCCAUUCAUAUUUACCUAAAUUAUGAUCACAAUGUCCAAUGGUAAUAAAACUGCAAAGGGCUAUAACUCUUUAUUAAAAGUUACAUCAAAUCAGUUCCAUUGCUGAACCAGUGAUUUUUCAGGCUAUUUUGGGAAAAAAAUAUUUCCUACAAAUUGGGAAAUUUUAACGUAGAAACUUUUUUGGGAAAUUUGAAACGCAUACAUAAAAGCUAUUACACAAACACAUUGGAUAUAUUUUGAUCACUUUAAUUUGUGCAGCCAUUUUUUUGCAUUUCAUGAUCAUCAAAGCGCUUUAAGUGACAUGUAACAUAAUGGGGAAAAAAGCGGUCAGGGUCAAAAUAUCUGGAAUCAAAGCCGGCAAUUUCUUGGGAAUUUUAGCAGAGCAAUUGGGAAUUUUUUUUAAUGAAAUCUCUGGGAAUGGUAUCUGACUCUUAAUGAUAUAAAUCAUGCUGAACUCAUCCGACCUCUUAAUGAUAUAAAUAAUUUACUCAUCAUAUUCACAAAGCCUAAUGGCAAUAAAACCACUAAGGGCCAUAACUCUAAGGUACAACUGAAUCGACCCAAUCAUCACUCAUCCUAGAUCUUAUUGAUAUAAGGCUGCGUACCAAGUUUCAUGAAAAUCAGUUCAUAUUUACGAAAAUUAUCAUGUUCACAUUGUCUGAUGGAAAUAAAAAUACAAAAGGCGACAACUCUACAACUGAAUUGACUCGAUUGUCGAAGAUCCGAGAUAUUAACAAUAUAUGGCUGCACACCAAGUUUCAAUAAAAUGCGUUCAUAUUUACACAAGUUAUUUCACAUAAGAAAAAGUUCACACCAGGCAGACAACACCCAAGGACAGAAAAAAGGCCAUUGCAAUAGGUCACCAUGAACCUUCAUCUUUAGAUGACCUAAAAAUACAACAACCCACCUUCAAUUCUGACAAAAUUGACCUGAAAUCAAACUUUCUCUGAUGACUACAAUCAACUAGCAACCUCAGCAUAUCAUACCAAAAUAUUAUCUCAUCCAUUAGAGUUUAAAGUGAUAAAUAAAUCCAGUUUGGCCAGUCGAAAUAGUGAAGGUUGUUCAUGAACAGACUAGCAAUGGAAGAAAGGUGAUUUGAUAAUGAAAUAGAUAUAGAUAAUAACCAGUAAUAUCCACAAUAUCCUCCAUUUAAUUGAUGCAUGUUUUACUGGAUGAAAUGGAUGAGUAUAAAUAUAGUAUUGUUCUGGGUUUUAUUUCAGCCAAAAUAUAAGCAAAAUGCAGGAGGAAAGUAUUAUGCAGUGAUGUGUAUUGGGUGAUCUUUAUAAAUUUGCAAAAACACAGAAUAAUAUAAUCUACACAUAUGAUUUAUUUUUCAGUUAUAAAUCUCAAUAAAAUAUUGGUAUUUCAUAAA
This is a long non-coding RNA of Pecten maximus, 4493 nucleotides long. RefSeq lists it as uncharacterized. The transcript is spliced from 2 exons. Lineage: Eukaryota; Metazoa; Mollusca; Bivalvia; Pectinida; Pectinidae. The record is from RefSeq and is a predicted model, not a curated record.